GCAAGGGUGAGUAAUGUAUAGGUAAUCUGCCCUUUGGACUGGGGUAACCUCGAGAAAUCGAGGACAAUACCAGAUGAUGCAGCGGCAACGCAUGGUUAUGUUGUUAAAGAUUUAUCGCCAAAGGAUGAGCCUAUAUCCCAUCAGGUAGUUGGUAAGGUAACGGCUUACCAAGCCUACGACGGGUAGCUGGUCUGAGAGGAUGAUCAGCCACAUUGGAACUGAGACACGGUCCAGACUCCUACGGGAGGCAGCAGUGAGGAAUAUUGCGCAAUGGGCGAAAGCCUGACGCAGCAACGCCGCGUGGAUGAUGAAGUUCUUCGGAAUGUAAAAUCCUUUUGCAGGGGACGAAUAUGCUGGCUUGACAGCACUGACGGUACCUUGCGAAUAAGCCACGGCUAACUCUGUGCCAGCAGCCGCGGUGAUACAGGGGUGGCAAGCGUUGUCCGGA
This 448-nucleotide ribosomal RNA is filed under the name uncultured Chlorobium sp. Its description in RNAcentral is "bacterial SSU rRNA". It matches the Rfam family "Bacterial small subunit ribosomal RNA", at positions 100 to 549 of the family's 1533-position model. The record is from RNAcentral. Lineage: Bacteria; Pseudomonadati; Chlorobiota; Chlorobiia; Chlorobiales; Chlorobiaceae.